RNAcentral lists this non-coding RNA (752 nucleotides) under Mogannia minuta. The record is from RNAcentral. Lineage: Eukaryota; Metazoa; Arthropoda; Insecta; Hemiptera; Cicadidae.
AUAAAGUUUUAUUCUAACUUGAAAUUUAAGUAACUAAAUAUUUUACAUGCAAUAUGAAAAUGAUUAAAAUUGAUUUUAAAAGUCUUUUUUUAAAAGCGCAGUAUUUAAUAUUAAAAAUUAAUUAUUUUAGAUUUAGUAAAUUAGUAUAUGUGAGACAAAAAUCGUGCCAGCAGUCGCGGUUAUACAAUUUCACAAUCUUAAAUAUAUUGGUAUUCAGUUAUGUAAAAUAAAAUUUCUAUAUUAAAUAAUUCUGGUGAAAUAUAAUUAUUUAUAUUAUUUAUUUAUAUGUCUGAGAAACUUGGAAAAUAAACUAGGAUUAGAUACCCUAUUAUUCUUGAGUGUAAAACUAUUAACCUGAUUAAUAAUAGAUAAGAUCUUUAAAUUUAAAGAAUUUGGCGGUAAUUUAUCUUAUCAGAGGAACCUGUCUUAUUAACCGAUAAUCCACGAUAGAUUUAACUUUAUUUUAUACUUGUAUACCUCUGUCAAGAAUGUUCUAUAAGGAUAUUUUCAUUAAUUAUAUAUAUAUAAUGUCAGGUCAAGGUGCAGUUUAUAAUUAAGUUAAUAUGGGUUACAAUUAAUAUUAAAUUGAAUAAUUUUCUCAUUUGAAAAUUUAAAAUUGGAUUUGAAAGUAAAAUCAAAAAAUUAUUUAUAUUGAAUUAGUAUCUAAAUUAUGCACACAUCGCCCGUCACUCUCAUUCUAAAAUGAGAUAAGUCGUAACAAAGUAGCUGUACCGGAAGGUGUAGCUAGAACU